CAGGUUUUCGCUUCUCCUCCUUUAUUAGUAUCUGAGAUUUAUGCAACUGAAUGCUAUUACCCGAAUGUCCUUCAUGCAAACCUCCCUGUUGAUUUAUAAGGCCAUGGAGAGGCACUGAAUGAGGAGUUUCUUCAUAAGGAGAAUAAUUAGAAGAAUUGCAAUGAUCGUGCGGCAGGAAAUGCUGAGUUUCUCUAUGAUCCAUCAACUGGCCAUGAUAAAACUGUGGAUGUGGAUGGGUUUCAUAUGCACUGGAGGAACUCUGAAGAAUUGGUUGAGCAGUAAAUGGCAAAGUACUGACCCCAACAGAGACAGUUGCAGCACUACUUGUCUCUCUGUCAACAUUUAGUCUAUCUAACUCAUCUAAAUUAUUUCCUGAAGAGCUUGCCAAACCAUGCAGGGUCGAGUUUUUCCUGGUUCCCACUUCCAUGCCAUUAACAGCAACUACAUACUGAAUCUCAGAAUCACCCUCCGCGCUACCCAGGCCAAAUUGAGCAUCGUCUAAAUCACUUAUGGAGAAUAAAAACAUUCUAAGCUUUUG
This 538-nucleotide unclassified non-coding RNA is filed under the name Hevea brasiliensis (rubber tree). Lineage: Eukaryota; Viridiplantae; Streptophyta; Magnoliopsida; Malpighiales; Euphorbiaceae. The record is from RNAcentral.